GCCCUUCAGGCCUAACACAUGCAAGUCGAACGGAAAGGCCCUUUCGGGGGUACUCGAGUGGCGAACGGGUGAGUAACACGUGGGUGAUCUGCCCUGCACUUUGGGAUAAGCCUGGGAAACUGGGUCUAAUACCGAAUACACCCUGCUGGUCGCAUGGCCUGGUGGGGGAAAGUGCGGUGUGUAAUAGCACUGUGCGGUGUGGGAUGGGCCCGCGGCCUAUCAGCUUGUUGUUGGGGUGAUGGCCUACCAAGGCGACGACGGGUAGCCGGCCUGAGAGGGUGUCCGGCCACACUGGGACUGAGAUACGGCCCAGACUCCUACGGGAGGCAGCAGUGGGGAAUAUUGCACAAUGGGCGCAAGCCUGAUGCAGCGACGCCGCGUGGGGGAUGACGGCCUUCAGGGUUGUAAACCUCUUUCACCAUCGGCGAAGCCCAUGAUUUUUGUUGUGGUGACGGUAGGUGGAGAAGAAGCACCGGCCAACUACGUGCCAGCAGCCGCGGUAAU
This 504-nucleotide ribosomal RNA is filed under the name uncultured bacterium. Its description in RNAcentral is "bacterial SSU rRNA". It matches the Rfam family "Bacterial small subunit ribosomal RNA", at positions 39 to 524 of the family's 1533-position model. The record is from RNAcentral.